RNAcentral lists this ribosomal RNA (497 nucleotides) under uncultured bacterium. RNAcentral's name for it is "partial 16S ribosomal RNA". It matches the Rfam family "Bacterial small subunit ribosomal RNA", at positions 28 to 507 of the family's 1533-position model. The record is from RNAcentral.
GAUGAACGCUGGCGGCGUGCCUAAUACAUGCAAGUCGAGCGAACAGACGAGGAGCUUGCUCCUCUGACGUUAGCGGCGGACGGGUGAGUAAUACGUGGAUAACCUACCUAUAAGACUGGGAUAACUUCGGGAAACCGGAGCUAAUACCGGAUAAUAUAUUGAACCGCAUGGUUCAAUAGUGAAAGACGGUUUUGCUGUCACUUAUAGAUGGAUCCGCGCCGCAUUAGCUAGUUGGUAAGGUAACGGCUUACCAAGGCAACGAUGCGUAGCCGACCUGAGAGGGUGAUCGGCCACACUGGAACUGAGACACGGUCCAGACUCCUACGGGAGGCAGCAGUAGGGAAUCUUCCGCAAAGGGCGAAAGCCUGACGGAGCAACGCCGCGUGAGUGAUGAAGGUCUUCGGAUCGUAAAACUCUGUUAUUAGGGAAGAACAAAUGUGUAAGUAACUAUGCACGUCUUGACGGUACCUAAUCAGAAAGCCACGGCUAACUACGUG